UACGUAGGGGGCAAGCGUUAUCCGGAUUUACUGGGUGUAAAGGGAGCGCAGACGGCAAGGCAAGUCUGAAGUGAAAACGCGGGGCUCAACUCCGCGAUUGCUUUGGAAACUGUCUGGCUGGAGUGUCGGAGGGGUAAGCGGAAUUCCUAGUGUAGCGGUGAAAUGCGUAGAUAUUAGGAGGAACACCGGUGGCGAAGGCGGCUUACUGGACGACAACUGACGUUGAGGCUCGAAAGCGUGGGGAGCAAAC
This 250-nucleotide ribosomal RNA is filed under the name uncultured prokaryote. Its description in RNAcentral is "partial 16S ribosomal RNA". It matches the Rfam family "Bacterial small subunit ribosomal RNA", at positions 524 to 773 of the family's 1533-position model. The record is from RNAcentral.